AUGAUGAUUGGUGAAUAUAGAG
This 22-nucleotide non-coding RNA is filed under the name Arabidopsis thaliana (thale cress). The record is from RNAcentral. Lineage: Eukaryota; Viridiplantae; Streptophyta; Magnoliopsida; Brassicales; Brassicaceae.